RNAcentral lists this ribosomal RNA (217 nucleotides) under uncultured Bacillota bacterium. Its description in RNAcentral is "uncultured Firmicutes bacterium partial 16S ribosomal RNA". It matches the Rfam family "Bacterial small subunit ribosomal RNA", at positions 28 to 233 of the family's 1533-position model. The record is from RNAcentral. Lineage: Bacteria; Bacillati; Bacillota.
GACGAACGCUGGCGGUAUGCUUAACACAUGCAAGUCGAACGAGACAAGAUGGAAGUGCUUGCACAGAAAUCUUAGAAAGUGGCGAACGGGUGAGUAACGCGUGGGUAACCUGCCCUAUGGAAAGGAAUAGCCUCGGGAAACUGGGAGUAAUGCCUUAUAAUAUAUGUUUGUCGCAUGGCAGAUAUAUUAAACGCUCCGGUGCCAUAGGAUGGACCCG